This 65-nucleotide transfer RNA is filed under the name Friedmanniomyces endolithicus. Its description in RNAcentral is "tRNA-Ser". It matches the Rfam family "tRNA", at positions 1 to 55 of the family's 71-position model. From Rfam's summary of the family: Transfer RNA (tRNA) molecules are approximately 80 nucleotides in length. The record is from RNAcentral. Lineage: Eukaryota; Fungi; Ascomycota; Dothideomycetes; Mycosphaerellales; Teratosphaeriaceae.
GGCACUUUGGCGGAGUGGUUAACGCGCUGCCCUGCUAAGGCAGUUCCUUCGGGAGCAUGUGUUCG